This 521-nucleotide ribosomal RNA is filed under the name Inmalthodes sp. UPOL 001289. RNAcentral's name for it is "partial 16S ribosomal RNA". The stretch from base 385 to 521 matches the Rfam family "Bacterial large subunit ribosomal RNA", at positions 2473 to 2610 of the family's 2925-position model. The record is from RNAcentral. Lineage: Eukaryota; Metazoa; Arthropoda; Insecta; Coleoptera; Cantharidae.
CAUGUCCUUUUGUUUAUAAUUUAAGGUCUAAUCUGCUCAAUGAUAAUUAAAUUGCCGCAGUAUUUUAACUGUGCAAAGGUAGCAUAAUAAUUAGUUUUUUAAUUGAAAACUGGAAUGAAUGAUUGGACAAGAAAAUUGCUGUCUCUUUUUAAUAUUUUGAAUUUAAUAUUUAAGUUAAAAAGCUUAAAUGAUAUUUUUAGACGAGAAGACCCUAUAGAGUUUUAUUAGAUUUAAUUUUAUUGAUAUUUAGUAAUUAAAUAUUAUAUUAAUUAAUUUUAAUUUGGUUGGGGUGACUUAAAAAUAUAUUUAACUUUUUUAUAUUUUAAUUAAUUAUUAUUAAAUUGUAAACCUAAUUAUAUUAAGUUUAAAAUAAAUUACCUUAGGGAUAACAGCGUUAUUUUUAUUUGAAGUUCUUAUUUAAAUUAAAGAUUGCGACCUCGAUGUUGGAUUAAAAUUUACUUUUGGUGCAGUUGCUUAAAAGUUAAGUCUGUUCGACUUUUAAAAUUUUACAUGAUCUGAGU